This 468-nucleotide ribosomal RNA is filed under the name uncultured bacterium. RNAcentral describes it as "partial 16S ribosomal RNA". It matches the Rfam family "Bacterial small subunit ribosomal RNA", at positions 28 to 507 of the family's 1533-position model. The record is from RNAcentral.
GACGAACGCUGGCGGCGUGCUUAACACAUGCAAGUCGAACGGAAAGGCCCUGCUUUUGUGGGUUGCUCGAGUGGCGAACGGGUGAGUAACACGUGAGUAACCUGCCCUUGUCUUUGGGAUAACUUCAGGAAACUGGGGCUAAUACCGGAUAGGAGCUCCUGCUGCAUGUUGGGGGUUGGAAAGUUUCGGCGGUUGGGGAUGGACUCGCGGCUUAUCAGCUUGUUGGUGGGGUAGUGGCGUACCAAGGCUUUGACGGGUAGCCGGCCUGGGAGGGUGACCGGCCACAUUGGGACUGAGAUACGGACCAGACUCCUACGGGAGGCAGCAGUGGGGAAUAUGGCGCAAUGGGCGGAAGCCUGAGGCAGCAACGCCGCGUGCGGGAUGACGGCCUUCGGGUUGUAAACCGCUUUCGCAUGUGACGAAGCGUGAGUGACGGUAAUGGGUAAAGAAGCACCGGCUAACUACGUG